RNAcentral lists this ribosomal RNA (406 nucleotides) under Aspidiotus sp. 2 BBN-2022a. RNAcentral describes it as "partial large subunit ribosomal RNA". Lineage: Eukaryota; Metazoa; Arthropoda; Insecta; Hemiptera; Diaspididae. The record is from RNAcentral.
GGAUGACGAGCGUGCCUUCGCGGUACGCUGGUCGUUUGAUAUUUCCGUCGCCGAUUACCCGCAGACGUCGCGACCUGUUCGCGGUCGGUCCCUGCUCGGAGGAGCCGCGUUCGAGUUCGUUGCGUGUCGCGUUUCGGCGUGUCACGCGGUGAAGACGCGGGUCUCUGGCUGGCCGUCGGACAGUACGUUUAACGGUGUCCGGUGUCGUCGUCUCGUACGCGCGUGCACCGGUACCGGUCAGCGACGAAUUCUUCGGGCCUCUUUCCGACCCGUCUUGAAACACGGACCAAGGAGUCUAACAUGCGCGCGAGUCGCGGGGUGUCGAGCGUACUUCGGUGCGUUCGUUACGUUGCGAAACCCGUACAUGUCGAAGGCGUAAUGAAAGUGAAUGGGGAAGAUGGUGUUC